This is a long non-coding RNA of Photinus pyralis (common eastern firefly), 263 nucleotides long. RefSeq lists it as uncharacterized. The transcript is spliced from 2 exons. The record is from RefSeq and is a predicted model, not a curated record. Lineage: Eukaryota; Metazoa; Arthropoda; Insecta; Coleoptera; Lampyridae.
AAUUAUUCCUUAAAAAACUCUUACCAGACUAGAUGUGAGGCGGCUUCGAUUUCAUACAACACUGGUGGUGGUUUUCUUGCAAAAGUUCAAGAAAGAAUGUGUGGUACUAUUGAUCAUUAUACCCGUAUAUUUCACGAGCGGAAGAUGCGAAUGUUACAUGUAAAUAGAAAAAAAGCACCGAAAAGAAAACAUUUUGCUACAGCAGACAGUCAUUAUGGGCCUAGCGCAAACCAACCAGAGGAGGACAUGGGCUCAGAAUUGUA